This 747-nucleotide non-coding RNA is filed under the name Idioscopus clypealis. Lineage: Eukaryota; Metazoa; Arthropoda; Insecta; Hemiptera; Cicadellidae. The record is from RNAcentral.
AAUAAGUUUGAUUCUUGCUUAUUUAUUAAUUAUUUAGUUGAUUUAUAUGUUAUUUUUUUAAUAAAUUUUUAGUACAGUAAAUAGUAUUGUUUAUAUUUUUAUUUAUUUUCAGUAAUUUAAUUAUAAUGGAUAAAUUUUGUGCCAGCAUUCGCGGUUAUACAAUUCAUUAAAGUUAAUUUUUUUGCAGUUUAGUUAUUUUUUAAUUGGUUUUUUGUUAAAGUUAUUUAGGUGAAAUUUAUAUUUUUAUAAUUAUUCCUUUAUUUAUUAAAUUUCUAUUAAAUUAUUUAUUUAAACUAGGAUUAGAUACCCUAUUAUUAAUAAACUUAAAUUUUAUGUGAAUAUUAAUAGUUAUGUUCUUUUUAAACUCAAAGAAUUUGGCGGUAAUUUAUUUCUUUUUAGAGGAACCUGUAUUUUAAUUGAUAAACCACGAUAUUUUUUACCUUGAAAAAUUUUAUUUGUAUACCUCUAUGUUUUGGAAUGUUAUUUAAGUAAAUUUUCUUUUUUUAUAUAAAUUUAUAUUAGGUCAAGGUGCAGUUUAUGUUAAGGUAAAUAUGGGUUACUUUAAUAUUAAAUAUUUUAUUAAAAUAAUCUAUAUUUAUGUUUACUUAAAAUAGGAUUUAAUAGUAAUUUUAAUUAAUUUAUUAAUUUGAAUUUUGCUCUAAUUUAUGUACAUAUCGCCCGUCACUCUCUUUAAAAUGGGAUAAGUCGUAACAAAGUAAGUGUACCGGAAGGUGUAGUUAGAAAGUU